RNAcentral lists this ribosomal RNA (497 nucleotides) under uncultured bacterium. RNAcentral describes it as "partial 16S ribosomal RNA". It matches the Rfam family "Bacterial small subunit ribosomal RNA", at positions 28 to 507 of the family's 1533-position model. The record is from RNAcentral.
GAUGAACGCUGGCGGCGUGCCUAAUACAUGCAAGUCGAGCGAACAGAUGAGGAGCUUGCUCCUUUGACGUUAGCGGCGGACGGGUGAGUAACACGUGGAUAACCUACCUAUAAGACUGGGAUAACUUCGGGAAACCGGAGCUAAUACCGGAUAAUAUAUUGAACCGCAUGGUUCAAUAGUGAAAGACGGCUUUGCUGUCACUUAUAGAUGGAUCCGCGCCGCAUUAGCUAGUUGGUAAGGUUACGGCUUACCAAGGCAACGAUGCGUAGCCGACCUGAGAGGGGGGUAGGCCACAUGUGAAGUGGAGCGACGGCCAGGAGCCUAAGGGAAGGCGCAGUUGGGAACGUGCCGCAAUGGGGGGAAAGCUGGCGGAAGAACCGCAGGGGGGUGGAGGAAGUGCUCCGGGCGGAAAAACUGGUUUCUAGGGAAAAACCAAUUUGGAAGGUAACGAAGCCGAAUUGACGGGAACGGGUCAAGAAGCCCCGGCUAACUACGUG